Molecule: ribosomal RNA, 500 nt
Filed under: uncultured bacterium
Lineage: Bacteria
Description: partial 16S ribosomal RNA
Rfam family: Bacterial small subunit ribosomal RNA
Source: RNAcentral
AUUGAACGCUGGCGGCAUGCCUUACACAUGCAAGUCGAACGGUAACGGGUCCUUCGGGAUGCCGACGAGUGGCGAACGGGUGAGCAAUAUAUCGGAACGUGCCCAGUAGUGGGGGAUAACUGCUCGAAAGAGCAGCUAAUACCGCAUACGACCUGAGGGUGAAAGGGGGGGAUCGCAAGACCUCUCGCUAUUGGAGCGGCCGAUACCAGAUUAGCUAGUUGGUGGGGUAAAGGCCUACCAAGGCAACGAUCUGUAGUUGGUCUGAGAGGAAGACCAGCCACACUGGGACUGAGACACGGCCCAGACUCCUACGGGAGGCAGCAGUGGGGAAUUGUGGACAAUGGGCGCAAGCCUGAUCCAGCAAUGCCGCGUGCAGGAAGAAGGCCUUCGGGUUGUAAACUGCUUUUGUCAGGGAAGAAAUCUUCUGGGCUAAUACCCCGGGAGGAUGACGGUACCUGAAGAAUAAGCACCGGCUAACUACGUGCCAGCAGCCGCCGUAA